AAGUCGUAACAAGGUUUCCGUAGGUGAACCUGCGGAAGGAUCAUUACAAGUAAAUGCGUAUUCCUGGUGAAUAUACAUGUACAUACCCAUCCUGAGUACAUUACCUGUUGCUUCCGUGGAGCAGUGACUUGUCACCUCUGACUGUGGCUUUGGCCAUCUGAGGGGAGUCUCCACGGGAGGUAUACAUCAAACUCUUGAACUACCAUGUCUUCUGUCUGAAUCUGUUUGUAACAAAAAUGUUAAAACUUUCAACAACGGAUCUCUUGGUUCUC
RNAcentral lists this unclassified non-coding RNA (272 nucleotides) under fungal sp. RNAcentral's name for it is "partial internal transcribed spacer region". The stretch from base 1 to 46 matches the Rfam family "Eukaryotic small subunit ribosomal RNA", at positions 1786 to 1831 of the family's 1831-position model. The record is from RNAcentral. Lineage: Eukaryota; Fungi. RNAcentral also lists the same sequence under 1 other name.